AGGGAAUCUUGCGCAAUGGGCGAAAGCCUGACGCAGCCAUGCCGCGUGAAUGAUGAAGGUCUUAGGAUUGUAAAAUUCUUUCACCGGGGACGAUAAUGACGGUACCCGGAGAAGAAGCCCCGGCUAACUUCGUGCCAGCAGCCGCGGUAAUACGAAGGGGGCUAGCGUUGCUCGGAAUUACUGGGCGUAAAGGGCGCGUAGGCGGAUAGUUUAGUCAGAGGUGAAAGCCCAGGGCUCAACCUUGGAAUUGCCUUUGAUACUGGCUAGCUUGAGUAUGGAAGAGGUAUGUGGAACUCCGAGUGUAGAGGUGAAAUUCGUAGAUAUUCGGAAGAACACCAGUGGCGAAGGCGACAUACUGGUCCAUUACUGACGCUGAGGCGCGAAAGCGUGGGGAGCAAAC
Molecule: ribosomal RNA, 400 nt
Filed under: uncultured bacterium
Lineage: Bacteria
Description: bacterial SSU rRNA
Rfam family: Bacterial small subunit ribosomal RNA
Source: RNAcentral